Molecule: ribosomal RNA, 247 nt
Filed under: uncultured bacterium
Lineage: Bacteria
Description: partial 16S ribosomal RNA
Rfam family: Bacterial small subunit ribosomal RNA
Source: RNAcentral
AUACGGAGGAUCCAAGCGUUAUCCGGAUUUAUUGGGUUUAAAGGGUGCGCAGGCGGGAUAAUAAGUCAGUGGUGAAAGUUUGCAGCUUAACUGUAAAAUUGCCGUUGAAACUGUUAUUCUUGAGUGCAGACAAGGUAGGCGGAAUGUAUUGUGUAGCGGUGAAAUGCUUAGAUAUAAUACAGAACCCCGAUUGCGAAGGCAGCUUACCGGACUGUAACUGACGCUCAGGCACGAAAGCGUGGGGAUC